AGGGAUUGCCUCAGUAGCGGCGAGUGAAGCGGCAAAAGCUCAAAUUUGAAAUCUGGCGUCUUUGGCGUCCGAGUUGUAAUUUGAAGAAGGUAUCUUUGGGCCCGGCUCUUGUCUAUGUUCCUUGGAACAGGACGUCACAGAGGGUGAGAAUCCCGUGCGAUGAGAUGACCCGGGUCUGUGUAAAGUUCCUUCGACGAGUCGAGUUGUUUGGGAAUGCAGCUCUAAGUGGGUGGUAAAUUCCAUCUAAAGCUAAAUAUUGGCGAGAGACCGAUAGCGAACAAGUACAGUGAUGGAAAGAUGAAAAGAACUUUGAAAAGAGAGUGAAAAAGUACGUGAAAUUGUUGAAAGGGAAGGGCUUGAGAUCAGACUUGGUAUUUUGCAUGCUGCUCUCUCGGGGGCGGCCGCUGCGGUUUACCGGGCCAGCAUCGGUUUGGAGCGGCAGGAUAAUGGCGGAGGAAUGUGGCACGGCUUCUGCUGUGUGUUAUAGCCUCUGACGAUACUGCCAGCCUAGACCGAGGACUGCGGUUUUUACCUAGGAUGUUGGCAUAAUGAUCUUAAGUCGCCCGUCUU
RNAcentral lists this ribosomal RNA (570 nucleotides) under Candida albicans. Its description in RNAcentral is "LSU rRNA". It matches the Rfam family "Eukaryotic large subunit ribosomal RNA", at positions 70 to 655 of the family's 3401-position model. The record is from RNAcentral. Lineage: Eukaryota; Fungi; Ascomycota; Pichiomycetes; Serinales; Debaryomycetaceae.